UUACAACUGGACCAUGAUGCACGUGAAAAUCUUGAUUCCAUCAUUGUUCCAUGUUGUGGAGAAUUAAGGGAACUAAAGGGUGGACACUAACAUAAGAUCAUUGAGAUCACAGAAAAUGCUGGAAAAACAAUCUUAAAUGACUACACGAUGGUCACUCGAAGAACAUAGAAAAGAUGAAGAACUCAACAAAAACAGUUGCUAUGGUGAGUGAUAAAUAUUAUAAGCAAACAUGGAGUAGCAUUGCACUGCUGGAUGAAGUUGUCUGUUCUCCUCCAUCAUAGUUUAAAGAAAAAGCAGAAGAGUUUAUCACGCAUUUGCUAAAACAGGAUCAGAAGACCUGUGAUAUGCUUGUUGAUCUGCAAAUUAAAACAAAUAAUGAAAUUGCAUGGAAGAAGGCGAGAUAACGAGAUAUCCUAUUAAGUGUUAAUUGUAAUGUAUAAUUUUUAAUUUUUAAUAUUUUUCAAAAACAGAAUUUUGUAAUACUAUUUAAUAUUGAAU
Molecule: long non-coding RNA, 498 nt
Filed under: Helianthus annuus (common sunflower)
Lineage: Eukaryota; Viridiplantae; Streptophyta; Magnoliopsida; Asterales; Asteraceae
Description: sRNA HanXRQr2_Chr13g0571191
Source: RNAcentral